AUUGAACGCUGGCGGCAGGCCUAACACAUGCAAGUCGAACGAGUGGCGGACGGGUGAGUAAUGUCUGGGAAACUGCCUGAUGGAGGGGGAUAACUACUGGAAACGGUAGCUAAUACCGCAUACCCUCGGUUGAGCCCAGAUGGGAUUAGGUAGUAGGGGGGGUAAAGGCUAACCUAGGCGACGAUCCCUAGCUGGUCUGAGAGGAUGACCAGCCACACGGGAACUGAGACACGGUCCAGAUUCCUACGGGAGGCAGCAGUGGGGAAUAUUGCACAAUGGGGGCAAGCCUGAUGCAGCCAUGCCGCGUGUAUGAAGAAGGCCUUCGGGUUGUAAAGUACUUUCAGCGGGGAGGCGUUACCCGCAGAAGAAGCACCGGCUAACUCCGUGCCAGCAGCCGCGGUAAUUC
RNAcentral lists this ribosomal RNA (406 nucleotides) under uncultured bacterium. RNAcentral describes it as "partial 16S ribosomal RNA". It matches the Rfam family "Bacterial small subunit ribosomal RNA", at positions 30 to 526 of the family's 1533-position model. The record is from RNAcentral.